GAUGAACGCUGGCGGCGUGCCUAAUACAUGCAAGUCGAGCGAACAGACGAGGAGCUUGCUCCUCUGACGUUAGCGGCGGACGGGUGAGUAACACGUGGAUAACCUACCUAUAAGACUGGGAUAACUCCGGGAAACCGGAGCUAAUACCGGAUAAUAUAUUGAACCGCAUGGUUCAAUAGUGAAAGACGGUUUUGCUGUCACUUAUAGAUGGAUCCGCGCCGCAUUAGCUAGUUGGUAAGGUAACAGCUUACCAAGGCAACGAUGCGUAGCCGACCUGAGAGGGUGAUCGGCCACACUGGAACUGAGACACGGUCCAGACUCCUACGGGAGGCAGCAGUAGGGAAUCUUCCGCAAUGGGCGAAAGCCUGACGGAGCAACGCCGCGUGAGUGAUGAAGGUCUUCGGAUCGUAAAACUCUGUUAUUAGGGAAGAACAAAUGUGUAAGUAACUAUGCACGUCUUGACGGUACCUAAUCAGAAAGCCACGGCUAACUACGUG
This 497-nucleotide ribosomal RNA is filed under the name uncultured bacterium. RNAcentral's name for it is "partial 16S ribosomal RNA". It matches the Rfam family "Bacterial small subunit ribosomal RNA", at positions 28 to 507 of the family's 1533-position model. The record is from RNAcentral.